CACCGCCCACUGCCCGAUGUGCUCUCGAUUGAGGAGGGGGAUGGAGAAGCUAGGGAAGAAUAAGAGGUGCCCUUUUGUUGUGCAGUAGAUGCAGCCAACAAAGUACCAAAGAGAAAAAUGGGAUUCGAUCAAGUUUUUGGUGGAGGGGAGGGCAUUACUGAUACAUGAUAUGAAUAAUAUUUAACAUUUGGCAAUCUAGGAGAGUUAU
Molecule: long non-coding RNA, 208 nt
Filed under: Elaeis guineensis (African oil palm)
Lineage: Eukaryota; Viridiplantae; Streptophyta; Magnoliopsida; Arecales; Arecaceae
Description: long non-coding RNA (EGUI_LNC021351)
Source: RNAcentral